This 9927-nucleotide unclassified non-coding RNA is filed under the name Mizuhopecten yessoensis (Yesso scallop). RNAcentral's name for it is "uncharacterized protein C458.02c-like, transcript variant X1". The record is from RNAcentral. Lineage: Eukaryota; Metazoa; Mollusca; Bivalvia; Pectinida; Pectinidae.
AAAUAUCCAUCAUGGCUCCCGAUGCCUGACGUGUGACUACGGACAGGAAGUUCGGGGAUUUAUUUUAAGACAACGCUACCACGAUCCGUGGUUUCUAAUGUGUGCAAAAUGGGGGACUCACCGGAGUCCACUAAUGUGGACCCAGAAAACCAACUUCUUGGAUCGUCAACAAGCUCCCUAGAUUCCAGUGGGAGGAAGGCUAGACCACCGAACAAGAAACGGUAUGAAGAGGAACUAGAAGCACUCCAAAACACUAUCAAGGAAAAGGAAGCUGAGCUGAAGUCAAUUACACAGCACCUGAGCGAUGACACGCACAAAAAUGGCCUCCGUACGAUGCGAUCCGAGAAGAGUGCUCAUAUAGACAGACUAAAACACAUUGAGCAUGAAGUUAAAACCCUGAACUCGGACAUCUCAAAAAAGAAGGGGGAACUAGACCGGUUGCAAUCCGCUCUACAUUACAAGAGCGAGGACCGGAUUGACCAUUCCAUAACAAGACUUGAUUCCCUGCUUAAGAAUCAGAAUUUUAAGCUCUCUGAGGAAAAGAAGAUCGUCACUGAAAUAAAUAGCCUGAAACGCUCAAAAAAAGUCUUACGGGAUUUCUUAGCACUUAAGAAGGAGAAUGACGACAUGCGGAGCAAGCAGAAAAGUCUGCGAGAGGAACGUGAUAGUUUACAAACGUUUGUUAACCAGCUCCGCCGCAAAGAAGAUGAACAUAAAGAUGUGGUGCACAAAAAGAAACAUCGAAAGGACACCCUCAAGAAAGAGCUUGAUAAUCUGUAUGACAUGAAGCGGCGCAUGGUGCAAGAUUUUAAGCAACAAGAGAAGGAUUAUGUUGAGGUCAAGGGUGAAAUUCGACGACAGAAACGAAAAGAAAUUGUAAAGAAAAAGGAGGAACCAUGUUCUCAAAUGGAGGCAUUCCAAAAAUCGUUGGAGGAGUACGCUGUACAGAGGGAGCCUUAUGCAGACGAAAUCAAUCUGUGCAAUACCCUCAUAUACUACCUACAGAAGUAUAUACAGAACCAAGACGACCUGCCUCAGGACGAACCACCCGCUGGCAAGGGUCUUAAUUUGUCGUCCUCUAACUGUUCCGCUGAACUAGCAGCUGAACUUGAGGAGGGAAUGUAUGUGCUUAGACGCAAGACAGAGGAGGAUUCAGAGUAUCCUGGGACGGGUCGUCGUUCCGGAAAACGCCGCCUCAGCAAAAAGGGCAAACGUUUAUCAUCUGUUACAAAGCCUGUGACACACACACCUCAGAUAUUUUCCCAGUUUGCCUCUCUAAACCUGAAUGCGCCUUCAAAUCAUUCCGAAAUACCGGCUUCCUUGGAGCAGUUGCAAGCUCGGAAGGAUUUCUAUAAGGACGGUUGCCAGCUGAAUCAGUCUAUUACCACACCUGCUAUAGAGGAGCACCACACUAGCGAUGCAGGCGUCUCCACUAGUGACGCUGGGAUCUCGCUGACGGAAAGCGGUAUGUGCGAGAUGUCCCGCCAGGCUAGCAACACAGAAAGUACGGAGAACCCGGCAGAGCUACAAUUUGGCUUUCUGGAUGAGCUUGUGAAACUGUCGAGUGAGGAAGCUGCGUCCGAAACAAUGUCCGAGGUUUCCGAGGAUACCCUCGGGCGGAGCAAUUCAAAUUCUGACUCCACUGAGCAAGCUCAGUCAGAAGGAGACUUAUCGGAUGGCACUCCCACAUCUGUGCAGGAUAAAGAGGCCGAAAUUAGCAGUGAUAUAGGUAGUGUGAAACCAGAAAGAGCAGGUAUAGCAGGGUUAAAGUGUGAGAAUAGUUUAGUUGGGGAACCAAUGCUCAAUAGCACGUACAAUGACAAUAAAUGCGAUUGUGAUAACCAAAAAGGCAACGUCCUCACUAAUCGGGGCUCAGAGCUAGGGAAAGACAACUCUGGUAUGCAUAAACUGAAUAUACGAGAUGACCCUGUUAACCAGGGGUCAAAGGUUAGGGAAGUUGUGCCCGAUGACUGUCAGGAGACGGACUACGAGUUUGACAUGCCACCGGAAACCUCACCAUGCGUGUCUUGAUGUUAGUAACUGCUUAGCCACCAUGACUGUCCUGCGUGUUGUGAAUGUCGAAGGGUUAGGAAUCCAGAUCAUUCAAUGUGGUUAUAAGUUUACAGAAAUGUUCAAAUGAAAAAAGUUUUUAAUUAAUUUAAAUUUUAUUUAAAUUACUAUAUAACAGGUAAUUUUUGUGGGAGUAUUGUAUUUGCAUUUUCCAUGGAAGGAUUCAACUGCAAAUUAAACAAUGCAGGGGAAAAUUCGUGUUUCAGGCAUUAUUGUAAGAUCUAGGUCAAGACUUUACCCUUUCACCCCUAUGCAACUUUUGUAGACUCUAUCAUGCUUUGAUCUGGAUGAUUCCAUUAUGGUCUACAGCGAUGAAAGGGUUAAGACAAACAGCAAUACAUACAAAGAACAUCAAACAGUUCACUUUAUGAAUUUAAACGUUAAUUAGAAUAAAAUUACAUUCUAUUCAUGUUUAUAUAUGAACAAGGUUUACUGUUAAAAUGUUGACACUUUUUCAAAUACCUCUGCAGUAUUUCAAUGUUUCAACAAAAAUAAAAACAAUUGUAUAAGAAUAAAUACACAAUACAGGGCUAGAAAGUAAGACAGGGCUAGAAAGUAAGUGUAUCCCGAUAGUCUGAGACUAGUGAAAUCUGCAGCUGGACUAGUGGUUCUCAAAACAGCUAGCAUGAUUGACUACCGGUAAGUCAAAAUUUCAUAUUAGUUAUCUUGGUGAAUGAUAUUUGGUUAGCGGAAUUUUUACAAGGACUAGUAAAAGUUGGAAAGUACUAUCACAACUGACUGGUGUUAUUCAAAAUUAAUUUCUAGCCCUGCAAUAGAAAGUUUUAUAAACAUCUAAUUGUGCUAGAAUACCACAGACUGUCCUAAUUUCUGCUAAUUCUACAAUGCACGAAUGUCAAUUCCAUCAGGAAAAUGCGAAGUAACCCUGCACAAAUUCAAAGUUGUAUACACUACAUGCUACUAUGUUUUGCUGUUAGAUGUCAUCAUCAAUCAUUUUUAUUGUGUGCUUUAUUAUAAAGAAACGUCGUCACCAUAUUUUCUUUCUCACUUUGAAACAGAAGUUCUUUCAUGGUCCUGUUCUACCAGUCCGUUGUAAAACUCAAAUACAUAUUUAUAAUUUAUUGUACAAUGUACAAGUAUUUAUAUAUUCAAGAGAUUUUAACAGUAGUUUUGCUAUAUUUUGUGAAAUUUUAGUUUUAAAAUUGUUGUGUAGAUUUUACACAUCUGACUGGGGGGAAAAUCAGUUUUUCUAGAGAACAUAUAUAUAUUUUUUAUUAUCUAACAAAUUUACCCUCGCUAGUUGCCUUAGACCAGUCCGGGGUAAAUAAGUCUAUUUUAAUUAGGAUUUUAUCAAUGGUUGACAGAAUUAAAAAUCUUUCACAGGGCAUUCUGACUCCAGAAGAAUUUGGUCAGUGGUCAACAAAAAUAUAUAUCUGUCUCGGGGUAUUCCGAGUCCAGAAACAAAUAUAUGUCAAAGUGCGUUCUGGACACAGCAGGGUUUAAUCAAUGGUCAACAGAAAUGAAAAUCUUUUGCAGGGUAUUCUAAACCCUGAAUAAUUUAGUCAUUGACCACUUAACGUAAAAAAAUAUUGUAUCUCUUUACCUGUGAUAGACUGAGGCUUACUGAGUAGAGUUGAGCCCUAUUUGUUUUUAUAGCAAAUUGUAAUAUUAUAAUCAUACAGCUGAAUAUGUAGUAAGAGAUCUAGACUACCUUUGCCUGGGAGGGCAUUUUAGUUUAAUUAAGGAUUGAAAUGUAUUUUAGGACAUUCCUUGAUUCAAACGAGCACAUCUUGGCGAGUAUAUAUAUGCUUGAACAAAACUGCAUUGCAUAUCAUCAUAAAUAUUAUAACCAUGCAUUUCAUUCCUUAUAUUUACGUCCAAAACCAAAAAGAAAAUUGUGUAACAUCUUUCUUAGAGGUUUCUUUCAACCCAUUGAUACAUUUUGAAUGAGCUGUUAUACCAAAUGGUGGAACAGCCAUUUUUGUGGGAACCUGGUACAUUUGUAUAGUGGUUUCUAUGGUAACCAGUUCAGUUGGGGACAAACAUUGGUUGGAAAUCAUAUUAUAAUUUUGUCGUAAAUUGAAAUUUCAUUUUAAAAAUCAUGAAAAAUCAUCCCCCGAAUGGUCAUAUGUAAAGAAAAGGGGAAACAACACCAAUGAUAACAGGUUUUAUGUUGCAGAUGGUGUCAUGAAAAAGAACAUAAAAUCUCCACAAAAUCGAUUGCUGUGUAUGUACAUUCUGUUCUUAUUUCUGACAUAGAAAACAGAAGGAGUUAUGAAUGAAUUAUAUUUUGUGGUAUAGUAGUGAUAAUAAUUUUUAUUUUGGUCACGAAGCAUCAUUACAAUAUUUGGUGUUUUUUUAAGAAAUAUAUUGUGUCUUUUUUUUUUUAAAUUGAAGUUCAUUGAUUUGUUAUUGUUUUCAGUUGAUCAAAUAAGAUUUAACAUUGUCGAGGCAUUUAUCUACAAGGGUUCCAUCAAAUUUAUUCGUAAAAUAGUUACCAAUAAGACUGCAAGUUUUAUACAAUUGUAAAUAAUUUUUGUGAACACUUAAAUUUCACAAUAGUACUUAACAACUUAUAUGUAUACAUAUACAUGUACUAAUUUUUGCAUUUAUGCAUCAGACCUCUUAUAUACGAGGCUUUAAGUCACAAAUUGAGCAAAAACAGAAAUAAGUUCCCUAAUAAAAAUAUAAGCCAGAUUUUUUAAUUUGUGAUAGGAUGUCCUCACAAAAUAAAGCGAAAUUAUGUCAUGUAUAAAGUGAUUUAUAAGUUUGUUACAGUUAAAUUAUAUGAAAGACAUAAAUAAUUUUACAUAGAUGUAAAUAAAUUUUCAAACAUACUGUAGGAGUUGAAAUUUUCACGCUGCAGAAAUGUUCAUGUAUAUUUGCGUUCAGAAUGUCGCACCCAAAGACAUCCCCACGUGAAUAUGAUUAUUGAUAUAUUACAUAUUUAGAUAGAUUUCAUAACUACAUGACGUAUUGACAACGUGAAAAUUGCCACACCGCAAACAGUUUAAAUAGUCACAGCGCGAACAUUUCCACCCGCGAUAAUUUUCACUUCUACAGCUGUGUAACAUGAAUGGUACUCUGUAUAUAUUGAACAGGAUUCUCAGGUUUUGUAGAGGAUUCUCAGGUUUUGUAGAACUGCAGAUUGACGCUUGUGUGGUUGAAUGUGGACAAAUGAUCAUUACAUACAUAUUGAUUAAUAAAUCUGUGACAAUGAAUGCAACAGUUUUAUUAUAUUUUGUACGUACUGUUUUAUGAUUCCGCCCCAGUCUCAUCCUUGGAAACAAAAGAUUCCGCUCUUGAUAUUCAUACCUUCUCCGCACCUCAUAUUUGAAUUUGUUAUAACCAAAUCGAAGGCUUGCAGGAAGCUAUUCGAUUGGUUUCGGGUAUAAAAAACUGACCAGUCGCUAGGUUGAUACCUGUCCUGUGAAGAUUACAGAGGAGCAACACUCGACCUCAAAGCCUGUUGAUUUUACAUUUUCGCUGCGGCAUGAUUAUUUUGAUCUUAAUUUAUCAAAAGACUUUCCUUUCUUUUAUUUUCUGUCUUCUUUCUCUUUUUCCGGCAGUGACUCCCUAGGCACCCGUCCUCCUAUUACCAUGACCAUUGCCAGGAUGUAAACCCAAACAAAAUACUAAAAAUUAUUAAAGACAUCAUUUUAGUCUAAAAAAAUCACCAGCAAAGUCCACAGCCUCCAAAUUUUGUUAUCAUACAUUCAAAGGAUGCAGAGAAGAUACGUAUAACCAGAUUGGAACUCUUGUGUACAAGGAUGCCCAGAUAUAGACUUUUUCCACAAACACUUCUCAAAAUUCUAAUUUCUUAAUAGUUCUUCUCGGUGUCUCCCUCUACACAGCCACAAUCUGUUUUCCUGCAUCGUCAUUUUCUACACGAUAGAAUGUUAGCCAAUAUGACGUUUUUUGUGUGAUGUUUCGUAUGGAGAGUUUUGCGUCUUUGUAACCCAAAAUUAAAUCAUAUGAUCACUAUUUUUAUUUUAAUGAUUUUUUGUUUAUCAUUGGACAGAGUACAAAAUUUACAUGAUGAUAUUUUGUACAACCUCAGUGUGAAAUGGACAAACUUGUAAUUUUGAACAACACUUGAAGACAAACUGGUGGGUUUUUUUCUGUGGUUUUUAAGUACAAAAGAAGCCGGGGAUAUUGUUACAGAAAUAUUUCUCUGUCUUUGUAAAGCAGAAAUCGUUGUUGUAAGCAGAUAAAAAAUUCAAUCUAAAUCUCUAAAAUGUAUAUAUUAAUUUUAUCCAAUGGCAGGAGCUGACUUAUACCAUCAUCUUCUGUUACUUCCAUUUCUUCCAUUUCUUCCAUUUUCUUUCAUAAUGUUCAAAUAUGUCACAAAAGCUGUCUUUUUCACUUCGAAAUUAGUUGUUUAAGUCUUGAUAGAUCUGGAUAGAAAACAGACUUUUUUAGUCUAGUAAAAUUAUGCCUGUCAUGACACAAAUACCUAGUUAAGGUAAAAUUACACCAGAAAAUAACACGUCAUGAUACAAAUACCAGGUAAAGGUAAAAUUACACCUGUAAUGCUGUUAAUACAAAAUAAAGAUAAAAUUGCACCUGUCAUGUCAUGAAUACCUGGUAAAGGUAAAAUUGCACCUGUAAUGCUGUUAAUACAAAAUAAAGAUAAAAUUGCACCUGUCAUGUCAUGAAUACCUGGUAAAGGUAAAAUUACACCUGUCAUGUCGUAAACACCUGGUAAAGGUCAAAUUAUACCUGUCAUGUCGUAAAUACCUGGUAAAGGUAAAAUUAUACCUGUCAUGUCAUAAAUACCUGGUAAAGGUAAAAUUAUACCUGUCAUGUCGUAAAUACCUGGUAAAGGUAAAAUUAUACCUGUCAUGUAGUAAAUACCUGGUAAAGGUCAAAUUACACCUGUCAUGUCGUAAACAACUGGUAAAGGUCAAAUUACACCUGUCAUGUAGUAAAUACCUGGUAAAGGUAAAAUUAUACCUGUCAUGUCGUUAAUACCUGGAAAAGGUAAAAUUGCACCUGUCAUAUCAUUAAUACAAUGUUGACAAAAGAAAGCAAUUGAAUUACAGGGUAUUGAUAUGUAGAUUUACAUGUUGUCCUCGUAAUUUUUUCAUAAAACAUUACAUAAUGAUAUAAACAUGAUAAUAAUAAUUUGAGGCUCUUAUAUACCGCUUUAUCACAACCUAGUUCGUAGGUCGUCUCAAAGCGGUUCACAAAUUAUGAAUGCGAUAGAAUUGCUUUAUUCCUGAGAAUGUUUUCUAUAUUCCGACUGUUGUGAUUCCUCGUUAUUUAUCAUUGAUGACUAAACUUAAUUCAUUAGCUCAUUUACCCCUGAAGACACAUUUGAACUCUUCCAAUUCAAAAGUUGGAAUAGUUCACUAUGAAAUUUCAGGGGUGAAUGAGUUGCACAAACCUACCUAAUGUUUGUACAGAUGUAAGUAUAAUCUAGUGCCUCUACUUUCAUAGCCUAGUAACCAGGUGAAAACUGAACACCAUUGGGGACCAAACGCUCCAUUCUGAGAAUGAAAGUUUUGGAUUGCACAAUGUCUUACUCAUUCACCCCUGACAUUUCAUAAUGAACUAUUCCAACCUUUGAAUUGGGAGAGUUCAAAUGUGUCUUCAGGGAUGAACUAGUAAAUAAUCAUGUUUGCUAUGUUAUUGUCAAUGUUCAUGCAUGUUAUAUAACAUAGUAAGGAAAUAGGUUAAUGUACAUUUUCAUCCUUGAGAAUCCAGGGGUUACGCUCACUUUUGCUCUCUGCACCCCUGGAAUAUGUCAUAGCAAAAUUGAAGGCUCAGUGUGUGCCACCUUGAUGAUGAGACAAGAAGACUAGUUCGAUCCUUUGAUGAACAUUGAAAGAAUCUCCUGGUCGUGUUACGGUAAAAAUUGACAGGCUUUAAAGUUGUGUGUCGCUCCUCUGUCAUCUUCCAAGGAUAGGUGCAUCAUCCUGGCGAUUUGUCAGGUUUUUUUUAACCCGAGUAACCUGAGACCAAUCAAACAGCUACCUUUAUGCCUUCCAUUUUCUAUGACAUAUUCCAGGGUGCAGAGAACGAAAGUGAGCGUAACCCCUGGAGUAUCGAGGAUGGUACAUUUUCUGUCUGAUUAAGUUACGUAAAAUGUGGAAUUUACAAAAAAAACAACAAACAGGGGUAAUGCUCACCUCACCUACUUUCUCUUCAUCCCUGGAAUAUGUCAUGAAAAAAAUCAAAGACAGGCAGUUAGCUAUUUGAUUGGUUUCAAGUAAAAAAAAAAAGACUGACCAAUAGCUAGGCUGAUAUCUGUCCUUUGAGGAUUACAGAGGAGUGUCACCCAAAUACAAAGCCUGCCAAAUUUACCGUUGGGCUGCUAUGGGAUUCUUUUGUUGUACAUAAAAGGAUCAAACUAGCCUACUUGUAUCGUCAACAAGGAGUGUACACAGCCUUUGAUUUCAUGAAAUAUUCCAGGGCCCGAAUUCAUCAAACUGCUCUCAUGCUCAAGUAUGAAUUCUGUGCUCAAACCGACUUUCUUGCAACUCGUAUAAAUCGCUUAACACGGUCAAAUAGUCCACUUUAAACAUUGAAAACAAUCUUCGGCUUAUAGUCUCUCCAAAUCUCCUACAUAUCAUUGACAAAAUAUGAUCAUUUUAUUAAUUUAUCACUGGCACAUGAAAUUUGACUUGAGCACAGGAUCUAGGUUUGAACAUUAGAACGGUUUCAUGAAUAAGGGCCCAGGGAUGCAGAAAAUUUCAAGGAUGAAUUUCACAGUAGGCACUGUGAAACAAUGAAGAUGAACUCGUAAGAAAUUUAAAAAAAAGGGAGUCUACCACUAUAUAAACUAAAACAUCUCAAUAUUCUAAAUUAUUUUUGCUUAAAAUGGUCUUGUACAAUGGUUUUUGUCUUUCCGCCAUGAAGUGGAGACGAGACUAAGAUAAUGCUUUUCCGGCAACGGUGUCAACAUUAAGGUUUUGUGUUUAAGUAAGUUUCACUGAAUGUAUAAGUGCUUGACCAACCAAACUUGGACCAUAGAUGCAUCUUAGGUAGUACAUCUCAACCCAUGCAUCAAAUGCUGGAUGCGGCCUACCUUUCAUGGUCCACUGACUUUGUCAGCAUCUCCAUCAACAUUAAGUUUUUGGGUUUAAGUUAGUUUCUCUUGAUAUGUGCAUUCAUCGGUCAAAGCGGGGUAUAGGCGAGACAUAUCAAUCCGAAUGGCUUGUUUACGACAUAUGAUAGCUCUGUGAGUAACCUGUUUCCCUUGCUGUUUUGACUAUUAUAAUGAAUUUCCCUAUCUUUCUAUGGAAUCAAACUAGAGUUGGAAUUGAGUAGCAAGGUUACUUUUCAUUGGCUGUUAGUUGUAAGCAUUUAUUGACUUAACAAGGCAUAAUCCAAUACCAAUAAUGUUUCAUUUUAUAACUUUUUCCUCGUUGUUGUUUAAAAUGAUUAAAGGUUCAUUUUAAAAAUGAUUUAUUGACUGGAACACAAGAGAAUAAUAUCCUCUUUAUUUAUCUGUGCUAUUAAUUGAUAUUUCUAUUUUCAUUUUGAAAAUGAUUUAUUAGUUGGGGAAAUUUUUAAAGGGAAAUAAUCAUUUCUUUAUUUGUCUUUUCAUUUUGAAAAUAAAUUAUCAAUUGAAACUUUUUCAAGGUUAUAAUAAUUUAAUCAGGCAAUUAAUAGUUUGAUAAUGGAGAAAAAUUGAAAAUGAGAAUGAAAGGGAUAAUUAUUUAAUCAAAAGGGUGUGCAGGUAGUGUUGUUAGUUGAAUUGAGAUAUUUGAAAAAUAUUUACAUGAUUUCAAUAUGCAGAAUUUGAAGUGUUAUUACAUUGUCAUGAUCUUUGAUUAUUUUUAAUUUAUGUAUUAUAUUCAAACAUUGUUGAAGCCUGUUUUUAUAUGUACAUUUAUGUAUCUCUAUGUCGCGGUGUUAUCGACAAAUAAAAACAUAGGAAUUGAUGAAGAA